This is an RNA transcript of Agelaius phoeniceus (red-winged blackbird), 557 nucleotides long. RefSeq lists it as uncharacterized. The record is from RefSeq and is a predicted model, not a curated record. Lineage: Eukaryota; Metazoa; Chordata; Aves; Passeriformes; Icteridae.
GUUCCUCUUUCGGAGCAGAGGUUAUCUGAAAGAAAUUUCAUGGAGCCCUACUUGGACUUUGCAAGGACAUCUAAAUUCAACCUCCAUUUAAAAGGCCUAGAAAAAUUAAAUGCCUUCUCUGGUCCUGUUAACUUGCAAUGUUCAUUCAAAUGCAGUUCACAAUUUUCCAGCAUGCUUCUUAUGGUGAAAGAAACUCAUUUCAAAGGAAGAAAGAAAGGAAGAAGAAAUGUCUCUUUCAAGCAUUGCUGGAAGGAGUGGCUUAAUGUUCUAAAGAUAAUGGAAAUGUCUGAAUUUGCUGAGCCAAUGAUUUAAAUUGACUGGACCCUGGAUAUUAAAAAUACACCCUGAUUUUUUCCAUGAAUAAACUGUGUAUUCAGACUCUGCACUCUGCAUCCUUCAGCUUCCUAUGCUGUGAAUAGGAAAACAAGUUAGAGAAUGAAAAACUCAUCAUGCACUCAAUAGGGUUUUCUUAUGGUAGUGUUGGUAUUUGGAAGAUAGUAGCUUCCUUUGUAAAUAACUUUGAGAUAUGUUUUAAUAAAAUAUUACACAAUAAUAUA